GACUCCAUAGCUAAGUGGUUAUAGCAUGAGAUUGCAGUUAUUACUUUGGAUAGGUAAUUGUGUAACAAUCUCGAGGUCGCGUGUUCGAGUCACGCUGGGGUCU
Non-coding RNA from Armillaria luteobubalina, 103 nucleotides. NCBI's taxonomy places the organism in Eukaryota, Fungi, Basidiomycota, Agaricomycetes, Agaricales, Physalacriaceae. The record is from the annotation of a GenBank genome assembly.